GAGAAUGUGAUUAGUUUAAAUGUAAGUAAUGUAGAUAAUGUGACUGUCUCAUGUCUUGAUGCCUCCAUCAAUACAACAAUACAAGUUCACCCUCAUGGUAUCCUGAGCAAUGGUGAUACAAAAAAUUGCCAUCUCCUGAAUACGAGAUUAACUGAGCAGAUUAAAGUGGAGUCUGCUGGUUCAGUUAACCAGCAGAUUGGUCCAUCAGAUGUAGCUCAACGUAGUUUUGUUGACAGAUCAAGUGUGAUAACUACUUGCACCUCUGCAAACAGUGAUGGAAGUCAUAUUG
This 289-nucleotide unclassified non-coding RNA is filed under the name Hevea brasiliensis (rubber tree). The record is from RNAcentral. Lineage: Eukaryota; Viridiplantae; Streptophyta; Magnoliopsida; Malpighiales; Euphorbiaceae.